UGUAAGUCGAAUUGGGGAAGUCAGUUAGGAGAAAAUAGUUAAAUCGAAGAUAAUUAUGAGAAACGAGAGAAAAACAAGAGCGCGUCAGGAGGGGAAAAAAUGCUCAAAUCGUCAGCGUCAUGCUCGGGUCGGCACCGUCACAGCUGUCGGGCUUCUGAUUGACAUGACGCUGCCUUGCGGAGAUAAAUUACGGGGAAUUCCCAGCAAACCACAAUAAGGGAAUUAGUUUUGGAGGUAUAAAUACAUAAUGAAGUUUGGGCAACAGAAUCACAAUACGAGAGGUUAAGUACACGGCGAAGAGAUUUGGGGUAACGUAGCUUGUGGAAGAAUAGUGAAAAUAUUCAAUAACACUGGAAAUGAAUGAUGUGAACAAAUAAGAAAAACAUCACAUUCAGCAAAAUUGUCAUCAAAUACAGGAUUGAUGACCAGUGGAUUAGACUACUGGAUGUUAUAAGCAUUGAGUAUUCACUCUGGAUUGAAGCACAACAUGAGACUUAUCACUAUCGAGAAGGUUCGUAUCGUCAGCGAAUAAUUUGGAAAAUAGAGUGGAGCUACGUGCAAGAUCAUUAAUAUAAAUUAAGAACAGAGCCGGACCCAAGGACGAACCCUGGGGAACCCCAUGGGUCACAGAUUUGAAGAUUGGAAUUACUCUGGCAAUUUUCAGUGAAGAUGGAAAUAUCCCCAAUCGAAGUGAAUUAUUAAAAAACUCAGUUAUACAAGGUGCUAUGAUGUCUGCCACAUACUUAAGGAAACGACUGGGAAUGUUGUCAGCGCCGGAAUGCUCGGACAGG
Non-coding RNA from Styela clava, 791 nucleotides. The record is from RefSeq and is a predicted model, not a curated record. Lineage: Eukaryota; Metazoa; Chordata; Ascidiacea; Stolidobranchia; Styelidae.